CUUCUCAAGCAGAUUGUUCACAGAACGUGCCACUCCUUCAAUUAACCUGAAUCAAAAGUCUCUCACGAGUCAAACGAAUUCUGCUGAGGAAUAUUUUGCAGGAAAUGAAAGUAAAGCUGUUAAACACCCUCAGCCUAUCACCAAGUGGCAACCUAAGAUCACGUUCCUGUGUUUACUUCAGUGCAACAUUUGCAUAAAACACUUCCAUCCAUGCACAUAUUUCCUGUUGGGUUGUUAUAGUCAUGCAAAAAAAAAAAAAACAAGACCAACUAAUUAUGGUGUUUCUCCAAAUUUUACCAGUUCAUGCUAAUAAUCACAUUCGUCCCACUUAUAUUAAAUAUUUUUUAUGCACACAAUGUCUAUGUACUGCCCUCGACAAAACCGUAAUAUGCUAAAAUUCUUAUAAAAUAAGACUGGACUCAAGUUAAUUUUUACCUUUUAUGUGGUUUAACAUGCAAUCAUAUCCCUGAUGAAAUAAUUUUCUGCAAUAACUUGCACGGUCACAGAUACAAAACUAUUUACUGAUCAGCUAUUUGUUACUGGAACAUAAUAUAACCUCAGCAAUUGUUACAUUUACAUCAAAAACAGUUGAAAUAAUUUGUUUACUGUUAUGUUACCAUUGUUGUGAAGUUACAGUACAAACAGUUCCAUGCCUCAAAGCAUGAAUGCAAACUCUUCUACUUCAUUAGUAAAAUCAAAAGGUGCCCCCCCCCCAUGCUCUAAUAACGAUGAAGCAUUAAACAGCACAAUUGAAACACAUUAGGAUACCUUCCACCCUUCAGAAGAAACA
RNAcentral lists this unclassified non-coding RNA (790 nucleotides) under Zea mays. Its description in RNAcentral is "misc RNA Zm00001eb156590". The record is from RNAcentral. Lineage: Eukaryota; Viridiplantae; Streptophyta; Magnoliopsida; Poales; Poaceae.